UACGUAGGGCGCAAGCGUUGUCCGGAAUUAUUGGGCGUAAAGAGCUCGUAGGGGGUUUGUCGCGUCUGUUGUGAAGGCCCGGGGCUUAACUCCGGGUUUGCAGUGGAUACGGGCAGGCUAGAGGCAGGUAGGGGAGAACGGAAUUCCCGGUGUAGCGGUGAAAUGCGCAGAUAUCGGGAGGAACACCGGUGGCGAAGGCGGCAUCCUGGACCGACACUGACGCUGAGGAGCGAAAGCCAGGGGAGCAAACGGG
Molecule: ribosomal RNA, 253 nt
Filed under: uncultured bacterium
Lineage: Bacteria
Description: partial 16S ribosomal RNA
Rfam family: Bacterial small subunit ribosomal RNA
Source: RNAcentral